UACAGCUCGCGGCCCCGCCCACCCCUGCCCUCGGCCCGCCUCCUUGGAAAGCGCUUCCGCUGAGGCUUGGCUUGUCAAUGAAGAUCAGAAUGGUAGUGGGAUUUCAUGGUGUUUGAUAGUGGGGUUUCAUGGUGUUUGGAUUCUAAAUGCAAAGGCCUCAGGUAAAAUCAUACCCACUGACCUGAAAUAGCGCCAAUGGGAGAUGGCUUCCAGUCUUACGUGAGACUCAUUCUGUAGCAGGAGAGGAUAAUCAAAGGGAUAUAAAGUUCCAGCCGCAAUUAGAGAAAAAGAGAAGUGAUCUGAGCUCUGCAUCCUGAUGAACCUCUCGGGCAGGAAAUGAGACAUUGAAACUUGGUGCCCUCUAGACAGAAUGAUAAGAACAGAAUUGUUGCCACCUUCAGCCCAAAGAUAUUUAUGAAAUGCCAGGAAGAGCAAGGCACCCAGCCACUCUAAAGAUCUACAGGCAGAAGAGACUGCCAGUCUUACUCUCCUUUCCUGUGGGGGUGGGCAGGGGGUUACUGACCACAGUAAGGCUAUUUGCUGGGAAAAUGGAUUUUUUCUAUUUUUUUAAUAUUAAUUAAUUUGGCUUCGCUGGGUCUUACUUGUGGCAUGUGGAAUCUAGUUUCCCAACCAGGGAUCGAACUUGGGCCCCCUGUAUUGGAAGCAUGCAGUCUCAGCCACUGGACCACCGGGAAAGUCCCUGCUGAAAUGUUUAAACCAUGAGCUGCACACUAAACUUCCAUAAGUAAAACUCUGCCGGAUCUAAGUCCUUGCCUCCUCCCAAGUAUUCUAGCAGGUCCUGUGCACCACAAGACACAGAAAUCGGACCUCUGCCAAUUGGAGAUCAGAUCUCUGCUCCUUCAGAGUGCUUGAGAAAGGGAGGGUGAGAGAUGAAGUUCAGCUCCGCUUGCCAACAGACUGCUGACGUCAGCAGAGCGACUUAAACCAUCUCUAAACAAGGGGCUGUUUCCACAAGUUCCUCUUGAGGAAGUUCUCCGCACAGGUCUGGCUUUGGCCAGGACUUUAGAAUCAGCACUUGGAGGGACGGUGAAGAUACCCAGGGGACCUGGUAUCUCACGGGGAGCACAUUGUAAGGGACACUCAAAUAAGGAAAAUUAAAUUGCUCAUGCUGAAAAGGAAUGAGGACUUCUUUCUCACCUUUCCUCAAAAACUCUGGAGUAUGGUCAGUUCUUUGUCCGACCCUGCUAAAUCACUUCAUUCGUGUCUGACUCUGUGUAACCCCACAGAUGGCAGCCCACCAGGCUCCCCUGUCCCUGGGAUUCUCCAGCCAAUAGGCUGCCAUUUCUGACUCUGCAAUGUAUGCAAAUCUUCUCUGUAAGUUAAACAAGCCUCUUGGGAUUUGACAAACCAGGAGUGUUCCUUCAGGGACCUGGCAGCAAAAGCAGUGACCAAGAGCCCAUAAAGCUACAGGAAAAGGGCAGAAAAUAUCACCGGAAAAAAAAAAUAGUGUAAACAACAGCAGUCCCUUCUCAGAACUCCCUUAGAUUAUAUGCUGUGCAACAUUACAGCUGGACAAAGAGCUCCCCUUCCACAACAGCCAUUUGUCACAGGUCUAGGCAACACAGAGCAAGGAAGAGACAGCAAAGACUUCACUUGCAGACAAAAUCACAAUUCACUUGAGAAAAUGGAAAACAAUCCUGUUCCCACAAUAAAUGCCCUAGUUUAUACAAAAGCCGUUAUCUUCUUAUAGUAUAUCCAUCAGGGCCCGUUGUUAUCUUCUGUCCCUCAGCUAUGCUAACCCAAACGAAAGGCACAGGAAUGGAGAAAGGAGA
Cervus elaphus (red deer) is the source of this 1793-nucleotide long non-coding RNA. RefSeq lists it as uncharacterized. NCBI's taxonomy places the organism in Eukaryota, Metazoa, Chordata, Mammalia, Artiodactyla, Cervidae. The transcript is spliced from 3 exons. The record is from RefSeq and is a predicted model, not a curated record.